Molecule: long non-coding RNA, 3021 nt
Filed under: Manihot esculenta (cassava)
Lineage: Eukaryota; Viridiplantae; Streptophyta; Magnoliopsida; Malpighiales; Euphorbiaceae
Description: long non-coding RNA (MESC_LNC011495)
Source: RNAcentral
AAAAACCUAAACAUGCAUUUCUACCCCAAAGAUCAACUUAAAACUUGUUUAAAACAUAAAAUGAGCUCAAGAUCGGCCCUUACCUCUUGAAGAUCGAGAGGAGAACGACCCUAACUCGGAGAUGGGAGAGAUUGAGCUUCUUGAACCUCAAAGUUUCAAAACUUGCUUUAUACUCGAAAAUCUUCAAAACGAAGGUGAAAACUCAUAAAAAUCAUGAAGAAUGGAAGGAAGAAACUCAAGAUCGGUGAGGGACGGCGGAGAGCUCACCUUGGCCGAAAAUGGGGAGAAAAACUCGCCCGUUUUCGGCUAAGGGACCCUUUUAUAGGUGGCUGGCCAGGCCACAUUCGGGAGCCGAAUGUGCCUCCGCAACGCAUGCAAGUUCGGCGGCCGAACCUGGACUUCCCUCACUUAUGCCUUCGGGGGUCUAAGGCUCUCCCGAAGUGCAUGCAUGUUCGGCGGCCGAACUUGAGGUUCGGCGGUCGAACCUGGGUCUUCCUCCAAGAUUAUUUUCAUGCAAAAACUCAUUUCCUUUUUACUUAAAACCAUGAAAUUCAUUAAAACAUUUUAUGAAAACAUGUUUCUACCCUACUAGAGGCUUCCGACAUCCGCGAUUCCACCGGAUGAUAGGAAUUCCGAUACCGGAGUCUAGCCGGGUAUUACAAAGAAGUUUGCUAACUAUUUUUCAUUUAUAUGAGCUAUUUUUUAAAAAAAUUUAAUAAAAUUAUUAAAGAGAGAUAAGAAAAAUACAUCUCUGACUCUAUUAAAACUUGUAAAAGAAGAAGCUGUCUGUAUAAUGGUUAAUAAGACUUAUAUAGUUCUUCAAUGCACAUGGUCAGAAACUAGGGGCAAGCAGUAUUCGGUUCAAACUUAAAAAAUUGACCGAACCGAACCGAUUUGAAAAUUUGGUUCGGUUUUUUAUACAUUUCGGUUUGGUUCAAUUUUUAAUUUUAAAAAUUUCAGUUAUUUCAGUUCGGUUCGGUUUUGAUCAGAAAAAAAUCGAAAAAACUAAACCUGUAACGACCCGAAAAUCGGACUGCUACCGGCGCUAGGAUCCAGGUCGGCUUAAGGCCGCCGGAACCCGUAGCAAGCCUGACAUAAAACCUGUAAACCUGUUUAAUCCCAUACAUAAUCAAGAAUAUACAUAAAAAUUAAAACUUUUCUUUCAUACAUUCUCUCAUACACCAAACUCAACCUGUGCAUGCACUAAACAUAAACAUAACUAUAAACAUUGACCCCUCUUUGGGAUCUCAUCAAUGCCCCAAUGGGUGACAUAACAUGCAUUGAGUUGGUCUACAUAUACAUCAUAAAACAUCUAAGGUCAUGAAUUAAAAGGGAUAACAAUACUCUAUGGUCAAGCACACCUCUAACAUCCAUGAACAUUUUUACAUUACAUUUCUAUACUGUACUUAUACAUAACAUCUCAACAUUUUUCAUGCCCACACUAUCUAUUACAUAACCAAGACUUCAUUACUCUUGCUGACCUCCUGGUCUACCCUGUACCUGCAAACCUGGGGGUUAAGGGAGAGGGGUGAGCUAUAAAGCCCAGUGAGCAGAAUAAUAAAAUAUUUAAAACAUAUGGUAACAUGGAAUGCAUCACAUCACAAUCAUAUCACAUCAAGGAUGAAGUUGUCACCAAUAGUCCUCUACAUGGUCCAAUUGUGCCAGGGGCGUAGAAUGGGCCUCACUGGUCUUUCUCUUACAUAACAUAGCAUAACAUAACAUUCCAACUGUGCCAGGGGCGUAGAAUGGGCCUCACUGGUCUUUCUCUUACAUGGUGCCAGGGGCGUAGAAUGGGCCUCACUGGUCUUCCGUACCGUAUCAUCAUCAUAUCGUGACAUAUGAGGACUAAAGGAUCAUUCAACAUUCAUUCGCAUCAUCAAUAUAUUAUGCAAUGCAACAUAUUUGUGAGUUCUAAUGCAAGCACCCUAUUAUAUCUCAUGGUAUUCAUGAUACGUGAAUCAUGCUAAAACUGGUUUAUUUUAAAGCAUAAGAGUUAUUCCACUCACCUCUGGCUAUCUCUGACAGACACGGAAACAGCUGAACUCACUGCUGAGGUCCUCGGUUCCUCGGGUCCGAACCUACACAGGUGGACUCAAAUGAGGGACAAAAUAUACAUGAACAUGACUCUGGGAUACUCCCCAAAAACCCCCUAAAAACACCUCAAAACAUUCAUGGAAUACAUGCAAAGGAAGGCUGAACAGGGCACUUUCGACGGCGGGUUUGGCGGCCGAAAGUCCCUCCAGAGCCGAAAGUCAGGCAGGUUCGGCGGCACCUUCGGCGGCCGAAACUCCCAGACAGAGACAAAACUCAUGCAUGUUCGGCGGUACUUUCGGCGGCCGAAACUGCCCUCCAGAGAUGAAAGUCCUCUUUCGGGGGCAGGCUUCGGCAGCCGAAGGCUGCUUCCACAAGCGGGUUCAGCGGCCGAAAGUUCCUUCGGCGGCUGAACCGGAGUUUCUCCAAAGUGGCAGAAACUCAGCUCCAACAUGCACAAACGCCCCCCAAACCUUUCAAACAUGCAUAAACCUAUACUACAACACUCCCAAUCAUACACAAUCAAGCACACAAGUUCAUAGGGGUCUCAAACUAGCCUAAACCCCAACUACAACACAUCAAACAUACCCACAUUGCUCAAAAACACACAUUAAACCCAUAAACUCAAAACAACCUAAACAUGCAUUUCUACUUCAUGAAAAACUUAUAACUUGUUUAAAACAUAAAGUGAGCUCAAGAUCGGCCCUUACCUCUUGAAGAUCGAGAGGAAAACGACCCUAGCUCAGAGAUGGGAGAGAUUUGAGUUUCUUGAACCUCAAAGCUCCAAAACUUGCUUUAUACUUGAAAAUCUUCAAAACAAAGUGAAAACUAGUGAAAAUCGUGAAAGAUUUGAAGGAAGAAACUCAAGAUCGGUGAGGGACGGCGGAGAGCUCACCUUGGCCGAAAGUAGGGAGAAAAACUCGCCCGUUUUCGGCUAAGGGACCCCUUUAUAGGUGGCUGGCCAGGCCACAUUCGGGAGCCGAACGUGCC